GCCAGUGUGGUGUAGUGGUUUGAACAUUGCACUAUGACUCUAGACCAGGGUUCAAAUCCCAGUUCAGCCU
This 70-nucleotide transfer RNA is filed under the name Phrynosoma platyrhinos (Desert horned lizard). RNAcentral describes it as "tRNA-OTHER". Lineage: Eukaryota; Metazoa; Chordata; Lepidosauria; Squamata; Phrynosomatidae. The record is from RNAcentral.